RNAcentral lists this ribosomal RNA (115 nucleotides) under Enterococcus avium. Its description in RNAcentral is "partial 23S ribosomal RNA". It matches the Rfam family "Bacterial large subunit ribosomal RNA", at positions 2813 to 2925 of the family's 2925-position model. Lineage: Bacteria; Bacillati; Bacillota; Bacilli; Lactobacillales; Enterococcaceae. The record is from RNAcentral.
CCAUUUCUUUAAGAAAGUAAGAUCCCUGAGAGAAGAUCAGGUAGAUAGGUCAGGAGUGGAAGUGCAGUGAUGUACGGAGCGGACUGAUACUAAUCGAUCGAGGACUUAACCAAAA